AGAUGGCUAUAAAAAAUUGUUAAAAAAUAAUUUAUUUAAGUGUAUAAUUGAAUUUUCAUACAAAACAAAAAAAAAAGAAUUAAUUUAUCAUUACUUAAACAAUUUCAAUUAAAGAGGGGUUCUAUAAGAAAUUAGGGAGGGUGUCGAAAGGGCUACUCCAAAUAUUCUCGAUAUCAAAGUGAGACUUAGUGGCUCCAAAAUGAGACCCACUCACUUAAGUUUUUCUCCAACAAAAGAGCCUCUACCUGAGCAUGCAUGGCCUUUGAAGAAGCGAAGGAAUUUAUGAAAGCCCAUUUCAGGUUCAUCGUUCCUUUCACGUGUAAUUUGGGCAAAUGGAAGGCGUUUUGCUUGCUCAAUAUUGAAUCUAAAUUCUUCUUAAAAUUGAUUUUUGUUCGACUAACUGAUAUUUUGAAUUUUUUUUUUGUACAGUGCAGUUAAACAAUUGAAUUGAAUUACAUUUGAUGGAAUCAGAGAAAUUGAGUGCCGGUUCCUAUUUUUAAUUCCAUAAAGUUGCUAGACAAUAUAUUUUUAAUGAAUUUGAUAAAGUUUAUGAUGAUUCUUUUUAGAUAUUUAAAUUAAUAUUAAAGAGUAGUAUAUGAGUUUGAGGGUGCUUGUGGUUUCUAACUGAGAGAAUAUAUAUGAUAGAGUAUGAUGUAGUAACUGGGCCAGCCUUAGAGCAUCACCAAAAUUUUGUAUUCUUAAUCUAAAGUUGAGUUCUUAAUCCAACAUUUAGCUCAAAUGUGAAUAAUUAUGUAUUGCAGACUAUCAUAUAAGAUUAAAUCUAAUUAAAAGUGAUUUAUUAAGGCUUUUAGUAAUUUAGCCUUUAAUGUAUUUGAUAUGAUGUAGGCCUUCAAUGUGUAAAGACUUAAGAGUCUAUUUUUAUAAUAAGUUGAAAUAGGAAUACCUAGAGAUAACAAGUAAUUUAUCUAUAUAAGUGGUUAUGGUCUACAAAUCACAUGUAAAAUUCUAUUCUUGUCUGACAUCCCAUCAUUAUAGAGAGUGUAGAGAGAAACUUAAAGAAUUCUCUAAGAUAAUGUGUUGAUCUAGAAGAUAAACUAUACAAUUGUAAAAAGUAAUUAAGCACUAUGGAUUCAGUUACGCUUCCUAUAUUCGUUCAUUGAUUCUAGGUAAUACAAUAUCAAUAUUCCUAGUUUUUUAGGUUAUGAUUUUCACCAAAGGAUAAUUUUCUAACACAAAAGACUCCUUGAAUAAAAUUGUACUUUUUAUUUGAAGAAGUACAUUAGCAUUUAAGGCCGCAGAAAACACUCAAAUUACGAUUUUUUAAAUAAGAAAUACUUAUCUCUCUUCAAUUUUGUUGAGUGCUUUCUCCAUUU
Molecule: long non-coding RNA, 1334 nt
Filed under: Citrus x clementina
Lineage: Eukaryota; Viridiplantae; Streptophyta; Magnoliopsida; Sapindales; Rutaceae
Description: Citrus clementina (C. clementina) long non-coding RNA (CCLE_LNC006539)
Source: RNAcentral